Molecule: long non-coding RNA, 42373 nt
Filed under: Daucus carota (carrot)
Lineage: Eukaryota; Viridiplantae; Streptophyta; Magnoliopsida; Apiales; Apiaceae
Description: long non-coding RNA (DCAR_LNC001716)
Source: RNAcentral
AGUGCAGCAAGUAGGACAUGUUGAUGUUGGGACAUCCCCAUUAAGGAAGGAUGUCUUGAUCACAUAGGCUAAUGACUGAGACCAAGAUUUUGUAUUUCCACUAAAGUUGCAACUCGAUCUUGUUUCUUACAGCUUCACUUUAUAUCCAUUACUCCAACUAAGAGAUUCAUGUCUGAAUCUAUCUGUUAUCAAAAGCUGAAAUGCUAAUUGCCUAGGUACUUCACUCAGUGCUGGUUCCGGAUGUCUCAAUGGUGUCAAUGUUGUACUUCAAAGGAGAUUAGCAAGGUCCAGUUAUCUGAAUACUUCAAUUUCAGUUGUUUCAGGCCUGUUAUUAUCCAAGUUUAGUAAACUUAAUUGCUCUAGAUUUUCAUUUAGUUUUAGUAUUUAAUUGAUUUAGUUAUAAUUAUUAGUUAUUUAAAUAUCAAUUUUAUCCAUUCUGCUACCGAAACAAAUCGAUAGUGAUCGACAGUGUUACAGAAAUCGGGAAUCGGACUUAAUCGAUUGCGCCACCGAUUUAGGAUUAAUCGAAAAUCGGAGAUUAAUUGGAAUUGGAAUGAAAAUUGAAUGUAUUUUAAUAUUAAAAUAUUAUUUAAUAUUUAGUUAUUAUUAUAUUAGUUAUUUAUUAACAAAUAUAUAUUAAUUAUAUCAUAAAUUUAAUAAUUGGUCAUAUUUAAGGCAUAUAGUAUUUUCAUUUUAAUAAAUUAUUAUAUAUAUUUGAUUGAGAAAAUUUAAUAAGGAUUAAUCAAAUUUUAAAAAUCGAAUCGGUCUGCCAUGAAUUAAUUGGGGAUUAAUCAGUUAAAUUGGGAAUUUCUAAAACACCGAUGAUCAGAUAGAAAUUUAUAGAUUCUGGACUUCUAUGGAUUUUACUAUGCCAUAAUAUUUUGCUCUUAAAAUUGGAAAGACAAUGUCUCUACGUUCUUCUCGUAAAUUUUGGUUUAUGUAUAGUUCGUCGUGAUUGUCAAUUUUUAGGUUAGAUCCACGUGAAUAGAAUGUACUGAUAAUGAAAUGAAUUUUGUAUCUUAACAUGUUGAUUGAUGAUAAAAAAAUGUUUAUUAUUUUUAUUAUUUCAAUCAUUCGAUUUGUAUUUCGAAAGAAUACUCAUUAGAUUUCUACAUUAUGUUUCUUUACGAUUUUUAUCGCAAGUAAUCUAAACUUAUUCAUAUUUAAUUAUUAUUAUAUCAUAUUUUCUUCAUUCUCUAUAGACCCUCUAUAUAAUUUUUCAUUUCAUUCUCCUCUUCUUCUAUUUCAUCCAAAUGAACACAACUUUAUAUCUUUAUGAAUCACAUCCAUCUGAAUGGUUAAGUUGACUGAUAAUAAAUAAAGGUCAGGUGAUUAUGAUCAAUUGAUUCUACCUUGUUUUGAUAAUAAGAUGUGAUUGGGAAUGUCAUCAUCAACCUUAAUCUUAACUUUUGUUUAGCAUGAUUUUUUAUUUGUUUUUAACUUGUGAAUUGUGAUUAUUAAAGUAAGUAUUAUAAUUACUAUCCAGUAUCGUCAUCAAUAGUACAGAAUGAUUACAGGAAUUUAACAGCAGAAGGUUUGCCACUGCGUCAUCACGGUGUCUGAACAGAGAUCGGACUCUAGACCGUAUCGGAAAGACCUAAAUUCACAAUUCAAUCUAUCUUUUAUAGAUAUGAGUCCGGUUCCCAACAAUCAUUUGUUGGGAUGUUUUAACAAUAUAAUAUUUUUCUGUAUUUUUAUGUUCUUCGAUAAUAUCUAAUCAUUACAAUUAUAAUAUUAUUUUAACACGUCCAACGUUUUUUAACAAUAUUAAAAUUGCGUCAAAAAAAUCAAAAGAAAAGAUAAUGGCCAGACGGGGUGAGAAGUAAUAUUGUCAUGGUACGGUUGUCACGUAUUAAAAUGUGUGCAGUGACCCCGUCUCUCAAUAUAUAAUGCUCACGAUUAAGAAUGAAUGAUUGUCCUUCUCCGAUCCUUACUCUCAAACCUAAGAGCGAACAGCUAAUGCGUUCGGGGUUCAUAGUUUAAAUUCAGAUCAUGCGUAUGACAUGAAAGCAAUAAGGACUUUGAGCCAGGCAAUUGAUUUCCACUAAAUAUUUUUCAAAGCAUUAUGCAUAAAUCUUUUGUUUAUAAUUAUAACCAUUCAGCCCUCGCAUUUCAUUGUUAUCAAACGCGAAUCAGAGUUGAAGCAGAAAUGGGUUCCAAAAUUUUGCUAUUGCUUGCUCUUUCCAUUGCUUUUACUUUUCUCAUCAGUUCACAAGUUGCAGCUCGAGAUUUAGCUGAAACUACUCUAAAGAGUAACAAGUCUAAGCUAUUUUCAUGUCUAUUUCUUUAUUCUCUACAAGAAUUGCAGGAAUUUUAAGUUGGCUAAUGCCUAGUUAACUACUAAUUAAUAUACUACCCGUGUCCUGCAGCUGAGACAGCCAGUUUAGACGGCAGCAGUUACUAUGCUGGAGGAGUUGGUGGAAGCCGGAGUCACCCUGCAGCAAGUGCCUACAGUAGAGGAGGCGGCAGCCACCACAAUGGAGACGGAGAAACCUAUAAAGCCAUCCCCAUAGGAGGUGGCUGCUACAACCGCUAUGAGUGCAACUGAAGCUCAAGCACUUGAGGCCACUAAAGUUAAGCCUCGUAACUUGACUCCAUGUAUGAUUACUACUCCCUCCCACCCGCCCAUCCAUCUUUUUACGUUUUAGGAAACGUGUGUAAGGUAAGGAAAAUAAAUAAAGUGGUGAAAUUAAUCAAUAUAUUGUAAAGUAUAAAAGAUUCGGGAAGUUGGAGGAAAGCACUAUUUUUACUGAUAUUUUGUCAUUGAGCAUUUUCAUGGGAUUUCAUCAUCAGCAUAUCAAGCUCCUAUUCGGAGCAUAACAUUUCCAUAUGAAAGCUACCAAUAUCCUCCCUUCCUAGCUUUGAAGCCACACUUAAGCUAUCGAGUGCACUACUACUAAAGAGAGGCGAGUAAGGUGCAAAACUCUACGGCAAUUGGCAAGUCCGCCUUUACCUAAUAAAUAAAUAAUAGGUACUAAUUCUUCAACUACUAUCUUUUACCAAGUCGUAACAAACUACAGUCACACAGAAGAGCUAGAUUUUCACUCGCUCGAAUUCUUGUAGAGUAUAAAAACAAACAUGCUUAAAACUUCACAGAUAUAGGAAGAAAGAGCAUUCCUGAUGAUUGCUCUUUAAAAAAGCAAGUUGGACAAAAUCCCAUGAAAUUAGACUUCCAAAGAGUUUCAUGUUAGAAACAUUCCAAAAGCAUAACACUUUGGGACAAAACCUACACAGUUUAGCUUAACAUGCAGCAUAACCAAGCCAGCUAUAGCCUCGGAAUUCCAUCUAACUCUACAUGAUAAAGAAACAGCAUAAAUAACCCUAUAGAUGGGAGAUACUGGCCGGCAUGGAAUGGACAAAAGUACCUUGAAAGUAUCUCCAUAUCUAUGUAUGUAUAAGUAGAUAUUAUAUUAGCAGAAAAUUGAUUUAGAAGUGCUGCAUGGUAGACUUAGUGCAUUGCAGAACGAGGAACACGUUGUUGCCUGACAGGCGUCUUUGAUGGGCUUACCCUGCAUAGAAAAUGUUCCAAAGCACCCCGAAUUAGAAUGGAAAAAAAUGAAGGGGGGAAUUGGGAGACUAGGAUAAGUGCAUGACUGACCUUAUUGGCAAUGAUCCCAAGAAGACACCACUACAGUUAAGGGCUGCAAUUGCACUCUCAGCCUGUAUGGGUUGAAAUGCAGUUAGUAUAAACUCUUUGCUGGAAAUAACAAGAAUGCACAGAUUAUAACGCAACACAUCAAAGAGAAGAGAAAAGUUGGGAUCUUUUAACACGUAAUUUAGUAAGAAAAUUGCUUAUUUAAGAAAGAUUUUCCACAAAAACAUGUACAUCACAAAAACUGUGAAAGCAUAGGCUCUUCACUAUCCAGAUGUGUUGCCGUAUGUAACACAGAUACCAAAUCAUUCUCGUUAAUGCAUUCGUGAAUGUCAUUGCUCAAGUAUUUAUACCAUGCAUAAAAAUAUAAGCAUAGAAAGGAUUAUCUGGUGGCAAGAUUUUUAUCAUGCUUUGUGCAGGUCACUGAACUUGAUUCGAAAUUAUUAUUACACCAAGUGUCCUAAUAAUUUGAUGCCCAAAAGUUGGAUGAAGAUAAGGAUAAAAGGAUGCAGAGGGGGUCUAAGACAACAAGGCCAGAAGAUUAACAACAAAGUUCAUAAUCAUGUAAUUUGUCAUAUUAAGAAGUUUAGCCGAGGAAAUUAAACUACAUAUGAUUCUACAGCAUAACAUACCAUAAUUAGGAAAAGUACAAAGGUAAUAUUUCUUAGAUUACUCCUCAGUUCCAUACCAGAACAAUAUACAUUAUAGCAUUUUGCAUAUAUACCUACCCACAAAAUAUAAAAUGAGAUUGCACACAUGAUAAAAUUUGGAGGAUGAAAUACAAGGACAGAAAAACCUUCUCUACUGGUAUUUACACACCAACGUUAACGCAUACGUUUGCUACAUUGAUUCUGAAAUGUUUAUUAAUAUAUUUUAGACAAAUAAAAAUUAAUAAAUCAUUAAUACAAUAUAGUCAAAUACUUUAUUGCAUUUUUAAAAUUUAGAACCUUUAUAAUUUUGCACAAGGAAAUUAUACUCAGGAACUUAUCAAAGAUUCACAUAAUUUUAUUGUCGAGUUAAUGAACCUUUAUACCUUCCUGAUAACUAAUAAUAUAGCAUAUUUACAGAAAUUCAACUGUAGAGUUUCACAUGAACACGAACUAUCUGAUGAUGAGGCUGUGAAUAAAUCACAUAAUCACAUUAGGGCUAAGUUGUUAUGCUUUUCAUUACUAAUACCAGGACCUGGCUGAAACAGGUAAAUCAGGUUCUGGGAUUAGUAAUGAAACGCAUAAUCACAUUAGGGCUAAGUUGUUAUGCUUUUCAUUACUAAUACCAGGACCUGGCUGAAACAGGUAAAUCAGGUUCUGGGAUUAGUAAUGAAACGCAUAAUCACAUUAGGGCUAAGUUGUUAUGCUUUUCAUUACUAAUACCAGGACCUGGCUGAAACAGGUAAAUCAGGUUCUGGGAUUAGUAAUGAAACGCAUAAUCACAUUAGGGCUAAGUUGUUAUGCUUUUCAUUACUAAUACCAGGACCUGGCUGAAACAGGUAAAUCAGGUUCUGGGAUUAGUAAUGAAACGCAUAAUCACAUUAGGGCUAAGUUGUUAUGCUUUUCAUUACUAAUACCAGGACCUGGCUGAAACAGGUAAAUCAGGUUCUGGGAUUAGUAAUGAAACGCAUAAUCACAUUAGGGCUAAGUUGUUAUGCUUUUCAUUACUAAUACCAGGACCUGGCUGAAACAGGUAAAUCAGGUUCUGGGAUUAGUAAUGAAACGCAUAAUCACAUUAGGGCUAAGUUGUUAUGCUUUUCAUUACUAAUACCAGAACCUGAUUUACCUGUUUCAGCCAGGUCCUCUGUAGUUUUUCAACUAAGUCAUUAUUUUGCAAAGCUAAUCCAGGCUUAUCAGUGCCCAAAUUUUUCUCUUUAUAGCUAAAGACCCUUUGAAAAAUAUUUAGGAAUUAACCCAAACUUAAUUACAAUAAAUAAAACCAGCCAUGCUGUACAUAGUAUUAUAGAUGAUUGAAGUGCCUUGCGGCUACACCCAAGACCUGACAGGAUGGUGUUUGCUUGUGGCCUUUGUUUAUGAGGUACCAUGGUCGAACGUACUCAUAUUUGUCUACCUGAUUAAUAGCUUCCAGAGUGUAAAAAAACGCUAAACUUAGCACUCCAGUUAAACUUCGUGUGCUCGCUAAUAAGAUGCGUCCUACUAAGAAUUCUUUUUCCAACACGGCCACAUCCUCACUCCCUCUUUAAAAAAAUAAAUUGCAAAUAUAGACCCUUCGCAUCCCAUCCAAAACAAAAGUGAAAUGGUGAAAGAUAAUCUAAUAGUCUAAUACUAAUUCCAAAAGUUUCCAUGAACUCAAAUUCCUCUCCAAAACUGAAUAAGGAUCCAAAUAUAACUCAAAAUAUAUNUUCCGCCAAAUAUACUUCAAAAAAAUUUGUUCAUAGUGCAGAAUUUUUCUUCAUCAGCCAAUUCUGUGAAGGCCUCUAAGUAUGCAAUUUUUUAUGAAGGGGUUUGAACUCGUGGCCUAGCUUUUUCUGGGGGUAUGAACCCAUGGCCUAAGUGUUUUGGAGGAUUGAAGCUAUAGCCUAGAGCUAGCUGUCCACACAGCCUUCAAAUUAUAUAUAUCAAUUAAGUAGGUUUGCCCGACUCCGCUAAAAGCAUCCAGGUAUUGGAUUCAUAAAAUAUGGAAAAAUUAAACAUGCUUUUGGGCAUAUAUGAGUGUUUAGUAUCCAUGCCCAAGAAUGAGUGUCAAGUGUCCUUGACAGAAACGGAAAUCAAACUAAAAGAGUCACACAAACAGAUGUACUACAUAGUAAAACCUCCUUAAAUUGAUAGCCUCGAGCCAUAGAAAUUUAUUAUUAAUUGAGACAAAUUAUACAUUCUCUGUUAUAGUCAGCAUCAUAUAAUGUAUCAGUCAAUACGGGUUAUCAUCCAAUUUGAGUACUAGUUUAUCUAGGCUUUAAGUUAUAUAAACCCUCCUUAUUAUCUCCUCCAGUGUGCCCAUCAAGUAUUUCAGAAACCUUGGUGUAAGUUGACUCCCUACCAAAUACUUUGCACACAACUAAUCCACCUACUUGCAGGAACCAUACGUGCAAGACAAAUUUAUGCAAGAUUUCAGGAGGCAUUUUUACUUACCAUCACAAACUCAACGAAUGCAAUACGAGUAGAAUGAUGAUAGUCACCAAGCAGCCUCAAGCGAAGAACCUAUAACAGACAGCAAAUUAUUUUGCAUAACUUAGUUAUAAAAUCGGAGCUAUUAUAACCUUUAGAUUUGUCAGUUAAGUCGCAUACCUCCCCACAGAAAGUUUCAAAAAAGAGUUUGACAUCUGCUUGAGUAAUCUGAAACAAACAAGCAUUAAAAGAGCUCAGAGAAAUGCUUUACAAAGAUUUUAACAAACUGAAUACGAAUAAAAGUUCUUCCAUGGCACCUUCUUAUCUAUAUUUGUGCAGUAAAUAGUCCUUGCGCACAUCUCCCUUUCAUCUUCAGACUACAAAAACAUUGCAAAAGGCAAUAAGAUACUAUGACUUUACUUCUCAACUAUUGAAGCAUUACAUAACUAUAGGAAGUAUUUAACCAUAUGAACUAAACCACUAACCCUUGGCAAAAAUGUAGGGUUAACAGGUGCAAUUGCAGUUUUCGAAGGCAGCACCCUGACAGGGUAAAAACCAAGCAUUGUCCCUUCCAGACUCAAAGCAUUUCUUGCACCGUCUGCAGAGAUGUCAGACGUAACAAAAUUUAAGACCACCCAAUUCAUCAGAAAUGUGUCAGAAAAAAAAAACUUAUCAGCUUACCCUCGUCAGUGAAUUCAACAAAGGCAAACCGGAGAAUAGAAUUUGGGUCGCCACAGACACGACAAUCAACAACCUUUGGUACAAAAAGAAUUUCAGGAGAAUAACUUAAACUAAUAUUCCUUCAUUAGCAUGCAUAGAAUUUACAACGAUUGAGAUUAAUAUGUCAAAUUUACCUGACCACAGCUGAUGAAGAGAGCUGCAAGUUGUUCUUCAGUAACCUAAACCCAUGCAACCAAAUAUACUUCAAUUUAUUUAUUAGAACAAAAAGGAAGAAGACGAACUUGAAUAGAAUUUCAAUAAUGCCCAAGCAAUCGCAGUAACUUCUUACCUGGUGAUCAAUGUCGGAAACAUAAACAGUCCUCCUAAUAACCUCUUCCCUCUGAGCCAUACUAGUUCGACUAUUCAUCCUUCGCUUCCCAUGACUAUAUCCAGACUUCUUCUGAGGAUUAAAAUACAAAACAAAACUUUACACUAUAGAAACAAAACAAAUGAAGUCCUUCCUAUAUCUACACAAUCUUUUAAAGUAUACCUCCAAACCUAUAAAUUAACCUCACACUACAAAUUUGGAAAGUUUUCUAAUUUUAUAAAAUCACUACUUGAUUAAGAAACCGACAAUCAUCAGAAUACUUAAAGUUACAUGACUAAAUCAGGCAGAAACUGUACAAAACACGAAAAAGAUCAAAACUUUAAUAUUACCCGUCUCACCGAAUUCCCACCAGCCGCAACAGGAGAGCUAGUAUGCACAACAAAACUCCCAUCAGCAAUAUAACCAAACUGAGGUGCUUGCAAAACUGGCCCAAACCCCGUAAUUGAAGGAGGCACAAAUUCCUUCGCCAUCGGGUUCAAUUUCGACAACAUUUCUUCCAAAUCCCUCAUCUCCUUCUUAAACCCCUCCCCCCUAUCAUCACCACCAUCCUGAUCACCAUCACCAUCACUCCUCAAACCAUCCUGACCCUUCAUCUGAUGAUGAACCCCUCCAUUCCCAUUAGUACCAUUCUGCAGCUUAACCAAACUCAUCUGAUCACUACCCUUCACUUUUUUCAGCUCAUUCUCAACACCCAUCUCAAAAUUCUUUGAUUUGGGCUCACUAAUUUUAACCACCUCAGUCUGAUUCAUCAAAUUAUUAACAUUCAACUCACCAUUUUCAACCACUGCCAUGAUCAAAUCUUUCUUUAUAUAAUAUCUUCCUGUAAAAAAUAAAUUACACAGCCGAUCAAAAACAAAACAUAUGUUCUUGAGCCAAGAAACAGGAAAAAGACUCAAACUUUAUCACACACAAAUAACCAAAUCAGUGUGUGUUUGUGUGUGUAGAACAUGUAUGUAUAUGUGAAAUGAGGAGAUGAAUGACAUACCUUGGAGAUGAUAAAGAUCCUCAGUUUACACAAUGGAAACUCAACAAGAACAAAAAUAACUCACUUGUUUUUCUUCGCUUUCUUUAUUCUUUAUUCUUUUUUCUUUUUCAAUAUAUUCUAUAUUUUAUAAUAAAUAUUUAAAAACUGUUAUUUCAAAAGACUGUCUUUAUAAACUAAAAAACCCUAGGUUUUUUUUCUCUCUUCUAUGUAGCCGCAUCCUCUUUUCAUCUCCGACGGGGCUUCCAUCGGUUUCCGGUGGAAAGCCCCAAAUCUUUUCGUUUGAUUGCUAGUUUUUGAUUGUUCUUGCUUUUUCAUUGAGUUUCUUAAUAAAUCUCCAUCUUUGGGGAAAGUUUUCUUAGAUCUAUAUCACCGAAACUUUCGAUUUUCGUUCUUAUUCGCUUCCAGAGGCCUUUUUGGAUUUGUGAGUGGAUCGAUUAUCUCCUAAGCGUCGUGGUGCAGAUCUAAUUGUUUUAGUUUGUUUUGAUUAUAGUUUGAUUUCUCUCCCUGGUGAGAGUGUGUGAUUUUUCUCUCCUUUUGUGAGAGUGGUCUGGAUUCAUAGAUAAAGUCUUCCGGGAAUUGCAUUUGUGGUCGAUAGCUCAAACGGAGUUUUUGGAAAAGAUGGUGAACACAGAGCAAGGAUCUAUACAUGUACCAUCGUCAAUUUCAACAUCGCUUAUUUGUCUCCUCUUGGGUUUGAAGACAGGCAUGUUAAUUUUUUCUAUGUUUGUUCGACUCGAUCAUUCUUGUAGAUGCCGUAUGGCCAUUAUUUAUUGAAUUAUCUCUUUUUUUUCAAAAAUAAAUAUUUAAAUGUAUUUUUUUGUGUGUGGGGGAACACAGGAGAUUAAAAAAUGUUUGUGUUCUUUGAAAGGUCCGUUUCAAAACCGUUUUGCAUUGUAACUUAGGUAAAUAUUCACGUGUGGUCGUUGAAUACUACUGAUGUAAAUAGUUUGAAAAUUUAAUUUAUAAGGAUAUUAUUUGAAAAAUAAAAUUUAGUUAGUUAAUAAUAAUCACAAAUAUAAAUAUUUUAAGAAUAAAUAGAUAUUUAAAUAAUAAGAGAAUUUAUCUCACUUGUUUUAUUUAAAAGAUAACAUGAGAAACUUUUUGCCCAUUCUAUUUCUGAUAAAAAAUUAAUAUUCGUCGUAAAGAUAAAUGUUAAAAUAACAAUUCCGCACCUCUUAAUUAUAUCAUUAUUAUGUGUCAUAUUUAGUCAGUAGGAUGACUAAUUGAAUCACACAAUCUGUAAGACAGUUUAGAUUUUUUUUCCUGAAUCAAAAUCGAAAUAUAAUUCACGCUUAUUAUCCAUUUGAGAAUAAUGUAUGAGUUAGUUUCGGUUUGAUCCAACAUGAACCGUUUUAAAAUCAAAUUAUACAUAUACUCUGCAACUAGUCGUAUACAUACAUGCAUACAUGUGUUAAAAAUAAAUCAUAAAUAUAUAUAUAUAAAUAUCUUUCAUAUUUAUUUUUCAAUAUAAAUAUUUAAAAUUAUUAUAUUAUUAUUUACAUCGAGCCAGCAACUAAAAUUAUGUUAUAACUCAUUGAUAUUAAUCAUUUAUGAUUAAGUAGACUAUUUAAACAUAUUAUACUAAUUUUACUCUUAAUUAUAAGUAAGAGAAGAAUGAACAUUGAAAUAUUCUAAAUAUUAUAUUGUAACGAUUUUGUUUAUUAUAUAUGAUGAUAUUCUAAGCCGCUUUGCUAAUUUGAGCCGAGUUAAACUAAACCAAACAAUUUAGUUGGGUUAUGGGUUAAUCUCACAUCUCAAACUCGCUCAUUUUCUUUUUAGAAUUCAUAUUUAGAAAAAUGAUAUACGGGAAUGGAUGGAAUAAACCGAAAGCCAAGUUCUAAUAAUUAAUUUUAAUAUCAAAAAACUCAAAGAUCAUUUAUAAACACAAAAUCUAUUUGUCAAACCUACUUACAAUAAUUUUACAGUACUUAUGUUAUAUUAAAAAGAAAAUGUGAAACUCAUGGAAGAGAAACUUGAGGAAUACAACAGUUCCAGCGAAUACAUUGUACGAAUCAUGUUGCAUUCGUAUAAAUUAAAUAUAAUAAUCAUAUUUAUAAGUACUUUUAGGAGAUUUGACGCCAACUUAAAAAUAUUAUUUUUUAAUUUUUUUGUGAAUAAAAAUAUUAAUAAUAUAUUUUAAUUCACAAAAAUUAAUCAAUAUAAUAUUUAUAAAUAUAUGAUCAAAACUCUUAAAAGUAUGCGGAGAAAAAAAUUAAACAAUUAUUAUAUGCUAAUAUUGUAUACGAGGAUAAUAGCAGUAAUAAUACAGUGUCUUUUUUUUUUUCGCCACGUAAUACAGUGCCUUUUAGUUGACAAUGGUUGGAAGUUGGAACUGCACUUCGGUACCUUCCCCUUUUAAAAGUUGUAAUGUUACUAUCAUUUUAGGCUUUUAGCACCCAGCACGCCUCCUUUUUUAGCAUUAUAAUUAUUUAUAACAACCUGAAUAAUUUUUAUAUACUGUCCGGGAAAAAGUGAUGUAUUUUACAAAAAUGUAAAAUAAAAAAACCACUUAUAUCAGUAAAUAUUUUUGUAUAUCCCAUUAAAAAAAAUUAUCAAAUAAAUAAUAAUAUCUUGUCGUCCAAUUAAACUUCGACAUUAUCCAAUUUAUUUCUGAUUUCAAUCGCAUCAUCUAUUCGAACAAUUUUCUGAUACAUUUCAACUAAUCGGGUGGCGUCAUUAUGGUGCAGUCACGAAACAAUAAAAUUGAUGACUUUGUUGAUAUCUAUUCAACAAUGAAAGAGGUAAGCUAGUUUGAUUUUACAGGAAUGGAAAGCUAUGAUCAAGAAAUACUAGAGUUCACCCCCUAGCUACCAUUAUUGACCCAUUGUACACAUCUCCACCGUUGAUUGAAAAUGUAAUAGAUACAGAAUUCGAAAUGUUGAUAAAUGGAUUCAUAUCAGUUUUCCGAAAAAAUCUUGUUUCGUUGUGCGCCGUAUUAGACUGUCCUGAACAAGUUGCUGAUUAUUAAGCCUAACAGAAAAUAACGAUAUAUUCUUAUUCAUUUAUUUUUCGAUGUAUCAAGUAUCGACACAAUAUUUUAAAAUUUUCCGAUUAGUCUUUUGAAAAAACACCGAUUUAUCGAUUACACUCCGAUUUGACUAAAAAUUCCUGAUUUAUCCAAAAUAUCUCUUAUAAAUUUUGAAUCGGUAAUUCGACCGAUUCAUUCUGAUUUCUACGAUGGUAUCAAAAAUAAUAACGAUUCUCGGUUAGACUCUUAGAUAGGUAGCUAGGUCGGAUGGACCACGGAAAGGAAACUGAUUCUGGAAUUAUAUACACUUGAAAAUGGAUGCAAAGACGGCCUUUAUUGAUGGAGAACUGUGGCAAGUUUUUAAUUCAUCCCAAGUGGGUCAAUCUUCUUGUGACCCUAGAUCAUAAUAAUGUUGCUUCUCCCUUUACUAGACAAGUAUUGUUGCUUCAUACGUACACAGAUUCUAUUCUAUUGAGUACUACAAAAUGCUCAAUAAUUGUUCAGCUUUUUGGUAACAACAAUUCUUUCAUUACCUUCAUCCCCUGCAGCAAUGGCUGUAUAGGUCCCCAAUCCAUUGGACACAUACUGCACACAAUUCACAAUUUGUCAAGAAAAUGCAAAGUAGACAAUAUAUUUAUAUUGUUAUAUCGGUAAUGACACGCCAAUCCAUUAUAAGCAGCAUAAAUUCAGCAUGAAAAAAAUCGAUGGAUGGUAAAAAUCCUAGAAUGGAUAAUUUUUCCGCUAAAGAUUAAUGUCAUCCAGCAAGGAAAAAAAACUGUUGAUAGUAUGAUACAUCAUACAUAUGGCAAGGACCCAGACCGAAAACUGUAAAGUCAAAAAUACAAAUCACGAGUUUCGGUGGUACAAAUCAUCAAAUCAUCGGUCCCAAGCCAAUAUUGCAAAUCACCGGUUACAACUUACAACCGUACAAAUUACAGGUCAUUAUAUACACAAAUCACCAAAAUUAAAAAGCAAGCCUUCACAUAUGUAAAAUCUUUACCUAUAUCAUCUUCUAUAAUACUUUCUUUUGACAUUACAGUACAAUAUAAAUCUGAUAUUUGUACACAUCAACAUAACAAUCGACUGAUAAAGCAGAGAUGAAGUUUCAUAAUUUAAGUGAGUGACAGGUAUUUGACAUUUCCACACAAACAUUCUAGUAAAGGUGUCGUGCACCAUCCAAGCACAACAAUUAAACUUGUGUGGUAGCUGUUUAAGCAUGUAUCGAAUUAAAAGCAAACGGUACAGACUUCGGAUAUACGAACACAGUAACAAUACGUAUUUCAAUCAAACCAAAAAAAGUCAGUUUCAUUUUAUUCAUCUAACAUGGGAGCAGAUGAUAAAAAGAUGAAUAUCUUGAGAUUUAAUGUUUACAUCUUCCUCCGGGACACUUGAAUAAUGUGUGACCACAAGUAUUAAUUCUUCUGGCUGUACCUUGUCCUUGGAUGCCUGCAGAACACCAUAAAUAUAUUAUACAUACAUUUAUGAUAUAUAUGUUGUGCAAUGUGGGUUGUUUUCAGAAAUAUUAGCAAAAAAAAAAAAACACUAACCUGUGGGUACCAUGACCUUACAUUAGUUGACUUCCAGCAAACACAUUGGUGAAGGCAAAGAAUGAAAGAAUGCUCAACUCUGGAACUUCAGAACCUACUUACCAUAUACUAUAUAUAUUAACUUGUAUUAAUAUACAACAAAAAUAAAUACCGUUCUAACAUGUUUAUAGUUUAUACAGGUGAAGCUGCUAGAAGAAAUUCCGGUUGUAAUCUCUGUAGUAGUAUACCACAAAAUACACACAUGGGUGUCGAUGAUGGUCGGAGGGUUGUAAUUUUUGGGUCUUUACUAAGGUCACUAGGAUAUUGGAGCAUUGAAAAUAGUGCCCUUGGUGCAAAUUUUGAAGACCGUCUGUUACAGCACACACAAAACCAUGUUGGAGUGAUAUCAUUAACGAUCAUAGAGGCAGCACAGCGUGUCAGUUUGUGUUUCUGUACAACUCCAUUCUCGCAUUCUGUACCUUGACAGAAAGAAGCUUCUGCAGAUUCAAAUGGAACAGGUGCUGAACAGUAGCUGCAUUGCUCCUUCGCUGUAUAUUUACCGACUGAGCAAAGCUUGCUGUCAAAAGAAAAUUUCAUAUUACUAGCCAUGCAAAACCACAAACAUUUACAUCAUUGUUAUAAUUUAAUAUAAGCAGCAAGGCCCAGUCAAACGCUUAAACAAAUGCACAAAUCCCAGUUCACAACCCACUUGAGCAUGAAUUGAGGAAAAUUCAAGUUGCCAUUUACCACAAACAAGUGCACAAAUGUCAGUGUCACACUGUAAUUAUUCUCACAAAUUAUUAAGCUGUUAAAAAAGAAUGUGAUAUCUUCCAUAAACAUUCUAAUUUACACAAGAAGAACAAAAUUAAAUUUAUGAUCUUGCACAAACAAGACCAAGUAGGGUCUGCACAACACAGAAAAGACCUAUCACCAUUAUUUAAUCUACUAGGGCUAUGUUAGUGACUUAGUGUCUACACUUCCCAUAAUCUUGCUGUAUGACUCGCAAGAUGGAAUUCAAUGACCCCCGAUACUAUUUUUUCAUAGAAAGUGCACAUAAGAUUAUGCAAUACCCUGAACAAACAAACCCUAUUACCAAUUGGCAACAAAUUAAGAGAAUCCAAAAUGAAUACAUACUGCAUAUUAAUAAAGUUUGCCACGAGGUAUUGCACAUAUACCUUCAAGGGACCAGGGUAAAGGAACAGUUAAGAAGCAUAUCUAAAAUAUUUGAGUACCUCUUUUUAAUCUUCUUAAAUUCCGAUUUAAGUACUUUAAGGGAAUUCCUGAUAUGGGCCUGUUGAGAAUUAACCCAGUUCUCCAUUUGUGCCAAUCCAGCAGGCUGCCAGUAUCCAAGUUUACUAACAUUUUCUGAUGAUUGAGACACUAAGUUAAUAACGAUGGAGAAACUGCAAUAAAUGAGCCUUUCCCGGAGUUCUUUUUCACUGCUCUUUAGAAGCUUCAACCACAAACCCAUUUGUCCCUUUCCAGGUUCAGCUACAAAGCUCUGAUUUUCUUCAUUGACUUUAUCUGCCUUCAUAUCUGCAAGUAUUACACGCCUAAUGAUGAUGUUCAAAAAGUGCAGCCGACGGGUGGUAAUAUUAGAGAGGUAUUUAGAGACGACUUUUUGAAGAGGAGCAUUUUCCAAGUUGGAUCCCACAUAAGACCUUAGCCACUUGGCUAGUAUGUGAUCUACAUAUAUAGGAGCAAAUUGCUUGAAUGCCAACAAUGCUGCCACCACAUCCCAAAUAACCACAGGCUUGUUCAAAUGUUCAUGUUGACUGAGGGAGCACAUUAUGUUAAAAUCCCAAUUUAUCAAUUCUCUCGUAGAAAACCCAGAAAAAGCUUCACCGUCGAAGUCUGAACAUUUUUUUAGUAACUUAUCAAGUUGUUGACCACCGGUCCAAAAGAACUCGACAGCUGCUUUCUGAGACCUGACAAUGAUCACAAAUAUCUUUUAGAGAGAGCUGCAAAGAGGCCCUGUCAACAAUUUUACUAUUAUAAAUUUGAGCUCUACAUGUCCAGAAAAGCCUUUCCGCCUUCAACUAAUCUAUUUCAGCUAUAUCUCCUUGGACUACUUUUAUGUGUGACAUAUUUAUAUGACGUUAAAUAGUUGUCCUAAUGUAUCAUUUUUGACCAAGUGACAAUGCAUGCAUGUAUUCUAUAUUGUAUAUGCAGAUAUACAGAAUAUAGUAGCAAAUGUGCGAGCAAGUCGAAACUAUGUAAACUUUUUGUGAGUUAUAUUGAAUAGAUGAAAAUCUUUACCUUAACUGGUACAUUGGAUCUAAUAGACCUGCAUCAAAACGACGAGCCUGUAAUCGACAAUAAACUUGUUAAUUUCCAACCGAUAAUGGUAGCAAUAAUCAACCUAUAGUGCGAGUCAAAUUUACAAAGAACUUCUACUGUUUUCCCUCAAAAAGCAAAAGUUCAAGCAGUAGAGACGCGGCGUCUCUACUUAAGUCGAUGAUUUACACCUCCGUGUGCAAAAAACUUCACACUGUAACUCCUUGUUCCUCAAAAACAAACAAACUUUGCACAUUAAAGAUAUACUUUCUUGAAAAUUUGUCCCUAAAUCCAUUGCUAUUCUUUUAAGUUACAGACCUACGAUAAAUAACACAAUUACGAUACAUAGUUGGAUUCCAUCUCUGCUAGUCUGCUGGACAGUCGAGGCUUUAUUGCUGAGACAUGCAAGAUGUGGGCGGAUGCAACCCCUACUCAAGGAGUUUUAGACUGUACACUGCGUUAAAUUUUGUGAACAGUUGGAACUUGGAACCCUAUUGGUGUCGCAAUACACAAUUGAACACACCUCAACAGCAACACUUAAGGUUUAAAUAGUUUAAGGACUAUCUUGCAUGUUCUUAAAUGUUAAUGUUAUGUGCACAUUCGUGUAAAAACUAGGGAUGUACCAAGGCUUAUAUAUAUACUAAAUACUAUACAAGCAUACAUAGCAGCAGAAAAAUCAGUUCCUAAUUAUAAUCUUGAUAACUAGCAUGACUUCCUGUUUGCAAUACAUACUAGGCAGGGAUAACAUUACGUACCACAGCAACUACCAGAUUUCCAGGGAAUAAUGUUAAAUAUAUUAAUAUGUUAAAUAUAGUAUAUUAAUAUGUUAAAUGUAGUAUAUUAAUAUGUUAAAUAUAUACUGUUAAUGUGCUUACUGAUAGCAAUACAUGAAACAAAACAGGGACAACAUUACGUACCACAGCAACUACCAGAUUUCCAGGGGAUAAUGCUAGACCAAAACAUGAAUCGAAUGCAUUUGGGACCUGCAAAGGAUCCCUGGAAAACUUUAGAUGCUGAAUAAUAUGUGUAUCUGGAGUGUUAAGAACUGUAGAGGAUCACAUCAUACAUCAGUAGAGCUCUCCACACCAGGAGUAUUUGAAGGUAAAGUUACUUUGCAUAAGGAAUCUCCAUUUAGAGUCCAGCAGUGAAAAGAAUCAUCCUUAAAUAACACAUUUAGUAGUUAGGAGUACAUACUUUUAUCAUCAGGAAGAAAAUAUUCCAGUUACUUGGCCAUCAAACUGGGUGGGGGGAGGGGGGGCUAUAUGGUCAGUACUGGAAAGCAUUAAUGAGUCAAGUCCGACACAGUUCUACUAUUAAACAUACUACAUUAUAACUAAAUCCACGAAUUGAUAAGUGCAAACAUUAUGGGGGGGUACCAUGUACCUAAGAAAACAGAAUCUUAGAAACCUCAAAAUUGCUUUGGGUCAAAAAUACGGAAAAGACACAAGAAUAGGAAAAAGGUUAGAAGAGAAAAUCGUGAACAGGAUACAUAUAAGAGAAACAUGACCAUCACAAAUUGCAUAAGCUGGCCGUUAGCCACAUACGAGCACAAUGAGCCUAAAUACCUGGUUGCAGCUGUACAAACAGUUUCCAUCGAAUGCCCAUGCGAUUCCUGUUACCUGAAAAGUAAUUGGAAAUAGAAAACUUAAAAUUUAUCAUGAUAAUAUAUUUACAUAUAUUUUUACUUAUAAUCAUAUUUGAUAGGAAUAGAAGGAAACUUACAACAUGCCCAUGUAAAUCAUCAGAACCAACUUUAUGAAAUUUUCUGGUAGAUAUGUCACAUUUCCACACUUCUAAAGCUCCAGAACCUUUGCCAACCGCUAGAAGAAUUUUUUCCGCAGAGGCUAUGGGCACAGUAAGAGAAAGUGUAGAAACUGGAACAGAAUCCACGGAUAUGAGCUGCAUAGAGAUAGACUGAUCCACAUCAACAUAAAUAUAUAUUCAUUCAAAAGCUUGGAGUAAAAAACUAAGAGUUCAAAAGGGUGACCUCGUGAAAUAGGGAGAAGGAGGCAGAACUAGUUUUGGAUGGCUUCAGCAAUUCCGCACUAUAACAGUGCCAAAUCUUGACACUGUAAAUGAAAGAGUAAUAUUAGUAGCAAACUUUUUUGAAUCAAAUAUUUCUAUAUUCAAGUGAUCAAAUCAACUGCAUGUUGUCCCCCUCUAGUAACAGACAAAUACAAUAACAAAAAACCAAAACAACACAAAGCAAAAUAUAAGUAUAUGUUGCUUGUAUUGCCUAUUUGAUAUUCGUAGAAGUUGCAGCGUCUAAUAAAAUUUAAUAUACCUUGAAAGUUUGAAGAUAUGAGAUAUCUUGUCAUUAAUUUUACAUACAACUAUAAAUACCAUAAGUUUGAGCACAAGAAGAUUUGCAUAUACGUGUAACCUUAAAACUGGAAUUUUUAGAUGAUCUUCGGAGUUCGGCAACUUCUCUAGCAUUAUAGACAAAGCAAUGGGUUAUUACUGUUUUGAUUUAGAUGCAUACAUCUAUAUCAAUAAUCAGAUCAAUAGCAAGAGAAUAUUUAGUAUCUUCUGUUACCUAUUGAAUUAUCAUUCAAAAUAAGUUGACUGAAGCUACUUUUAGCAACAUUUUGUAUAACAGUUACUUUAGAGUUUAGCCACUUUUUAUUUAGUUAUAAUUAAGGUAGAACAAAUACAUGCCAAAAAAUAUUUUAAAAAUCUACUCACAAUAAAUAACAAUAAGUAUAAAGUAAAACCUCAUUCUGUCCAUUUUCAGUGUAAUCACAUCCAAGUUGCAAUUGAACAGACAACUGUAGUAGAUAACAUGUGUUGUUUAAGUCGUGAGAAAUGGCGUGAUUAAUCACGCUUUACGAGCUGCGUAUUAGUGUGAUUAUAAACUUGGCAUAAAAUCAUGCUUGGCUCGAGUAUUACUCGCCAAAAAUCGCACUAAGAAACACAAAAACUGAAAUACCCCCAAGUUAAAAAUAACUUACUUAUCUUUACUAAGUACCCAUUACAAAGAAGAGAAAGAAUUUAAAAGAAUGAAAUUGAGCUAAACAAUUUAGAAGCCUUUGACUUACUAAAUAUUAUAGAUUGAUAGUUUAAUACUGCUAUAUAAUAUUCCCACAUGUUUGAGACUGUAAUUUAUGUUUGAAACUAUUUUAAGUACUAUUUUAUUGUUUACCAUUAGAACAAACAUUCUCAAUAUCAUAUAAGUACAAAUAUAGAUUAUUUCAAUUUUGGGAAAAAAAACGUGUGAGUAAUCGCGCUUCACAAUUGGAGCACCUAUCCUUUAUACCCCGUGCUAAGAAUCUCUUGCGGUUUUUUCAAUUUUGUGUGUUUCAUAGCACUAGGUGGUGUACAAGGCACUAUUAUGUCAAAGCUCUAGAUACAAAGGGGUACAAAAAUUAAGUCUAUGUGUAAGCAUCAAACUACUCACCUCCCAUCCGAACUUCCUGUAGCUAAGAGAAGCUGAUGAUUAGAAGCAUCAGAAACAGACACUGCCCAAUUCAUUGUAGUGACCCAAGACAUAUGUGCAUGGAGAAUUCCAACGAGCUGUACAUCAUUGGUAUAUGUGUUGUUUAUAAUAGAAUAGUGUUGUGGUUUAUUGAUUUUCCAGAACGAAAUCAUGCCCGAUUUUCCUCCAAUUGCAAGUAUCGAACAACAGUCACACGAAUCAUCUGGUGACGAUAAUCUAUACUCGGAUGUUUGUAAAAGUGGUGACCAGGAAACAACAACUGAAGCUAGCAUUGAGCUGCGUGAAGCAUAUUUAUCAGCUGAUAUUAAGGCGACGUUAUGCGUUUCUGGCACUCUUUUCUUACUCUUUGUUUUAGAUUUAGGCAUGCAAACAAUUUGAAGAGACCUACUUUUCAGCUUGUCAUCAGGGGCUUUAAGAGCCUGGAAAACAAGCAAAAGGAUUUAGAGACAACUAUGACUACUAACUGUGAAGUUUAACUGAGUUAAUAGUGUUAUAUAUAUAUAUAUAUNNNNNNNNNNNNNNNNNNNNNNNNNNNNNNNNNNNNNNUUUAUAUCUAUGUAUGUAUGUGUGUAUGUAUGUGUGUGUGUGUGUGUGUGUGUGUGUGUGUGUGUGUGUUAUAAUUACCAUGAACCCAACAAUGAAGAGUGCAAUGACUAUAUAUGAUAUCAUGUUACAACAUUGUAACUUCAUAUACUAAAAGACACCAACCUCUAUAGAUGAACCUUCAAUUGCAAGCGAGCAUGGAAAACUUGAGACUUCAGUAAUAUCAUUUGCAGAAUCACUACCAUCAAGCACAGAAGAACAGAAUAAACUUAUGAGUUUAGAGUUUAUUAUCUUGAUUAAAUCAAACAAUCUGUGCAAUACUAGUAAAUAUGGCAUAGUCGAGCACUGUACCUCACUGCUAUGUCAUUACGCCUUUUUCGUUUAGGGUUUUUUCUCAUCACAGGGGUCGAAGUAUCAACAUCAUGAUCUUUCCCGAGUUCACUUGCUCUCUCCUAAAACAGAAAAAGAUAUUUUAUUUUUGGGGGUUCUGAUACAGAGAAUAUAACAGAUGAAGGAUAACCAGAACCAAUAAAACAGUAAAGAAAUAAUAAAUCAUACAACGCUUCAUGCGCUAUUUACAUUUCUACUUCAAAAAACAUUUGACAAGUGCUUUUCAAGUGUGCUUAGUUAUCUACAAAUCAUAUGUUUGAUACAUGCACACGUGAACUUACUUCACAACAAGGUACAGAGUCCAUGUUACAUAAAGAAAAGUUAUCAGGUUAUGUUAAACUGCUAGAACAGGUCUACUAGAACUAUUCAAUUACUUGACUUACAUUAAAAAGCUCCGAGUAAACAUCCGACUCCCAGAAAUUGACAUCCAGUAAAUACUUGUACAGCUUCUCAGAAAUAUCCAAGAUCUAUGUUAUGAUGACAAACUGAAACUUCAUUACAAGACGAUUACUGGUACAAUCAUAUGUGUGUGUGUGUGUGUGUGUGUAAUGAGAGAGAUAGAGAGAGAGAGAGAGAGAGAGAGAGAGAGAGAGAGAGUAUAUUAUCAUAGAGAGAGAGAGAGAGAGAGAGAGAGAGAGAGAGAGUAUAUUAUCUAUAAAUGUUUUAAGAAAUCGAUGUCCUUGUGACUCGAGUACAAAUUAAAUCAUUCAAGAUUAUUUACUUUUGGUAAAGGUCAACUACAGAUAUUAAGAUAUUAAGACUCUACUACGCUUCCACUCAGAGCUAAACGAGGACAUACCUCAACCCACUCGGCGGAGAAGUCAUAGAAAGGAAAACGGUAAAGCUUCACUCGUCCUUCAGUGGUACAAACAGCAAGCAAGCAUCUGCACCAAGUAACACACACGCAACUUACAUUUUCAAAUAUAAUCACAUUACAACACCUAACAAAAUGUAAACCAAAACAAGGUAAGCUGGAUAAAAUUUACCCUGAGUUUGGCGCUAAUCCAGUGGGAGACCAGGAGAUAGACCGAACACAAGGACUGGUAUCUCUAUGAAAACUAAUGGGUUGCAUGCAACCACUGAGCAAAUCUAAGCAAACGGAAAAAAAAAAGAAGCUAAUCAAGGCAAACCAAACAAUAAAUCAGGUUACAUGAUCUUAAACAUAACUCAUCAACCAAGAGAUCCCAACAACUCUCCUAAUAUACCAGUGGUUAUUCCAUUGGUAGAGAUUCUGUCCUAAUGAGUACGUUGCCAUAAUGAACAAAUACCUUCCUUGUCUAUUACUCCAAUUUGAAAAGGUUGGCUUGGUGGUACUGUAAUAAGGCCUCGAGGUCCAAAAGGCAUGUUUGGAGUCUAAUAUAUACAAGUAAAACCAACAAAUGACGAGUAUCAAAAGAAACCCAAAAAAACAUAAACAAGCAACCACAUAAUAACCUUAUAAACUCAUAAUCGUAAUGCGAGUGAGUCCAGCAUUACCAAAAUAGUCACAACAUGCCCGCAAGCAACUGCAACCAAGUUCUCUUCAGACCAAGCAACAGCAUUCGGAUAACAAGGUGAAGCCACUAGUGAAGCAGCUUGAAAGCGCAACGCCGCCAUUCUUGCUGCAAUGGGUCAGUAAACAAAACAAUGACUACAAUAAAAAAAACUGAUUCUAUUUGCAGGAAGUUCUGGAAAUAGCAUGUUACCAUACAACAAAGCACCAAAAAAUAAACCAAUGCCCUCUCGGUCUAAUGGUAACUCUCUCGCUCCUUUUAUGAAACGAAAUGUCGAGGGUUCGAAUCUUUUUAAAGACAAUUUAAGCAUUUAAUAAUCACAUUAAAAAAAACUAUAUAUUCUUUGGGACUUGCAUCAAACAGUUAAUGCGCAACCAUAAGUGAAAAAUCUAAACCACAGAGUAGAUGAAACGAGGAGUUGGGGAAUUACCUGCCGGAAAGUGGGUUAAUUACGAGGCCGGUUAAUGGAAUAUUUAUCAGUGUUGUGUGAUAAAAUGGAGAUGAAAUUGUAGAGGGUGGUACUUCCGCUAUUCUAUGUUUUAUGGGGACAUUAAGGUAAUUCUACCACUGUUUUUUGGGCUCUUUUUUCCCCUAUGUCCUGUGCUUACCAAAAUAAAGCCUUAUGUACUAUAAUACUGCAUAUCAGAAGGGUAAUUGAGUGACUAAAGCUAAUCAAAAACAGUGAUUACAGAUAUGAUCACCAGAUGAGAGCCAACGACUUAAACUUUGUAUUUGGUCCAUUUUCAAAUAUGGGGAUCUUUACCUCUGACCCAGAGGAAAGCCUGCUCCUGUUUAUAGAUCUUUGAUAUGUAAAUUAGAAUCCAAAUGGGCAGGUACAAAGUCUCUGUGGAGAUAAAUACAUAAAUGGAAUUCAAUGAAGUUAAACCGCUUACGUGGCCUUUUUUAUAAUUCGAUAGCUGAUACAUAUUUAAGAUUAUUUAAUCCAACUGCACAAUACCAACAACCAACCAAUCAAAUUUUAAAUCAAACAAAUUAACAACUACUGACCAAUAACCAGUAAUACACAUUUAUACUCUAAUAAAUCACAACUCAACUCAUAUAUUUGAAUUUGUGAAGAAAACUCUCUUUGUGACCUUAAAACAGAAUUUUCACAAAGUUGCGCUACCGACAUUCAAACAUUUUUAAUAAAUCAGAAAUAUAUGAUUUUCACUUGAAAUUUUGAGGAGACUUUCCUGAACUCCCCAAGUAGCUACAAAGUUUGUUUUGGCUUAAAAAUCAAAGUCAAAGUAAUUUAACUAUAAUUUAUAAAAUCAAAAAUCGGAGCAGUUUUGCUUAUUGCACAUACCUCACUAAAAUAAUCAUAACUCCCAACUCAUUAAUCUAAAUGCAAUGAUUCUUUUUGGAGAGUAAACUAGACUCCAAUUAUCAUAUAAUAUGACCAGAAACUACUGCUCAUGCAUAUCAUAAUUUAUCCAGAAAAUGACUCCAACAGAUGCAUCACAACAGCACAACAAAAUUUCGCACAUAUGUCACUUAAAUGGCUAUAUCUUUUAGCUCAUAUAAUGAAACAUCGAAAUUCUUUUUCGUACUUGAUAUAGACAUCAAGGAACACCUUAUCACAGAAAUAUUAGGCACAAAAGUCGAUUCAAUUAACCCAAAAUUAUGCUACAAAAACAGCCCAGCAGCAGUCUACAAAUUUAUAACGUUCUAAAUCAUUAAUCCGCUACUUACACUCUCAAAGUACCAUUCUAAAAGCAUACCAUCAUACUUGUAUGCAUAAUCUUAAACCCAAUCAUCAAAACAAAUCAAUAUUAAUCAAGCCCAACUCAUAAAUCUGUUUUAAAAAUUUACAAAAUCCAAUAUGCAUACAAAGUUAUCAUCUUAUCAAGAUUUUUCCAUGAAUCAAAUUCAAGAACACAAAAAUCGAACUAAACCCGAAGUGGGUUCUAAUAAACCAAGCAAUACCCACAACUAUAUAGUUUAGGAAGUGAUUCAAGACAAAAAUCCGGUCUCAAUUCGAGAAUCGGACACGAAAAAGGAAGAGGGAGUGAGGAGGGAGAGAGUACCAGAGAGAGAGAGAAGAGCCGAGAGAGAUGAAGAGAGUUCGAGAGAACUCGACACUGAAUAAGAAAGAACUGGGCUGGUGGUUUAGAGGAUAUAGCCGGGGACAAUUUAGUAAUCAUACAAUUAAAACCAAUACCCUUUUACUGCAAAAUUCCUGAAAAACGAGCUUGUAAAUUAUAAAACUUCUAUGAAAUUGCUCUGAACAACUCGAACUAUAUUUUUAAAAUAUAGAAUAUGAAAUUACCUCUCUCCCCAUAUUUUUAAAAUAAUUUUUGAGCACAUAGAUUAUUUUAUAUGAAUUUUACAAGAUAAUGCUCGAUAAUCAAAAUUAUGAUUAUAAAAUCAUUUUAAAAUAGUAAAUCACUGAAAUAAAUUCAACGAUCAUUCUUAAAAUAUCUUUAAGAAUAUUCUAGAGAUAAUAAAGCAAAUUCCAUGAUUUUAUCACAUCUCAAAUAUUUUACAAAGAUAUGUAAGCUCAUAUACUCAUAUUUUCACAUGAUAAAAUAUUUAAAAUUAUCUAAAGCCACAUCAAUCACAUAUUUCAACCCGUACAAGUCAUAUAGCACGUAGUCAUACAUCCACAAUCAAAUCUCAUACUUUCAUUUAAUUAAUGUAUCAAAAUAUAUUUAUUCACACUUUUCUAUUUCCGUCAUUUGCGUAAAAUCCGAUAUCCUUUAUCGGUCAUAAAUUCACUUUAUCCACUUAACCGUAUCAACACAUACGGGUCACAAAAUCAUGUACUCAUAUAUUUUCCAUGAAAUUAAUAACCCACUCAUUUCUCGUUUAAAUCCUCAUAAAUAAUCACUUUUCGGUUCCUUGACCGUUGACUCAAAUUCAUAAAUCAUAUACCACCUCAUCCAACUGGAAUAUUAUAUAAUAUUUAUUUAUUUUCUAAUUUCACAUAAAAUGGCACAUUUGCAUAUAAUAUUCGAUAUACAAUUCGCGAAAUCCCCGGAUAUUACACUAUGUCCUGUGCUUACCAAAAUAAAGCCUUAUGUACUAUAAUACUGCAUAUCAGAAGGGUAAUUGAGUGACUAAAGCUAAUCAAAAACAAUGACUACAGAUAUGAUCACCAGAUGAGAGCCAACGACUUAAACUUUGUAUUUGGUCCAUUUUAAAAUAUGGGGAUCUUUACCUCUGCCCCAGAGGAAAGCCUGCUCCUGUUUAUAGAUCUUUGAUAUGUAAAUUAGACUCCAAAUGGGCAGGUACAAAGUCUCUGUAGAGAUAAAUACAUAAAUGGAAUUCAAUGAAGUUAAACCGCUUACGUGGCUCUUUUUAUAAUUGGAUAGCUGAUACAUAUUUAAGAUUAUUUAAUUCAACUGCACAAUAACCGCCUAGGCGCUAAUAAUCAUGAUUAGGGGCGAGCAGAAAAAACCGAAACCGAAAAAAAAAACCGAAAAAACCGAAAAACCAUACCGAAAAAAACCAAACCGAAAAUAAAACCGAAAAAAACCGAAAUAAAAUAACCGAAAAUAAUGGUGCGGUUUUAUUUUCGGUUUUAUAUUAAAACCGCACCGAAAUUAACCGAACCGAAAUAUAUAAAUAAAUAAAUAAAUAUAUAUAUAUAUAUAUAUAUAUUAAUAAAUAAUAAUAAAUCACCUCAGUAAUAUUGAUACUUUGUAUCUUAUUUUUAUCGAAACCUGCUAGCUUCUUCCAGAGACUACGCAGUACGCACACUAGCCGAGACGUAAACUCAAGCGUCAACUUUGCUUUGCUCUCCUCCAGUCUCUACAAAUAACUAUACAGCAAGUCAAUAAUAUUAAAACAGACUCUUGGUUUUUCAAUUUCUCACUCCUUUCAAUUCAUAUAAUGCUCCGGUGAAUUCUUCUUUAUUUUUCUUGGUCUUAAUCAGAUUCAAACACCAGGUUCUUAUAAAAUAUCUAAGUUCAUUUGUAAGUUUAUUUCUUUACUCAUAGUCAUAGAUUACUUAUAUUGCUAAUUUUUUUUAUUGCAGAUGGAGUUUAAUGAUCCACUUUCUUCACCUGGAGUUCUUAGAGAAAAACUUCCUCCGACUCAAACAGAGAGACAACAGGAGCAUGGUACAUCUCAAGUCAACCAAAAACAUGAUACACCCCAGGUACACGAAACUGCUGAUGCUAAAAAUGAAACUUCGAAAAGAAAGUCAUUUGUUUGGGAUCAUUUUACCUAUGUAGAGAACAUGACUGAAGGAAAAUGUCCUUACUGUAAAAAGAUAAUCAAGUGUCAUGUUAGAAGAAAUGGGACGAGUGCUUUAGGUAAUCACCUUACUAAUCACUGUAGGACUUCUCCUGUUUUUAAAUCUAAAACUAGCAACAAGAAGCAGAAAACAUUGGAGGCAACAUUUGCACCUAAGAAUCAGGCGGGAAAUGAAUGUGAACGUACACUACAGGCUUAUAGUUUUAGUCAAGAGAGGAGUAGAGAGGCACUUGCUAGGAUGUGUAUCAAAGAUAAUAGACCUUUUAGUAUUGUUGAUGAUGAAGGUUUUGUUGAAUAUGUGUGUGAAAUAAAUCCAAGAGUUAAACUUCCGAGUCGUUGGACAGUGGCAAGAGAUUGUUUAAGUAUUUACGUAAAAGAAGCUAAAGCACUCAAAAUACUAUUGAAGGGUCAAAGAGUGUCCUUAACUACUGAUACCUGGACUUCUGUCCAAAACAUAAACUAUAUGUGCCUCACAGCACAUUGGGUAGAUGAAGAUUGGAAUCUAGUAAAAAAAAUCUUGAACUUUUGUCGAAUUGCAAAUCAUAAGGGGGAAACAAUUGGAAAGUUGGUACAUGCAUGCUUAGAAAAGUGGGGUGUUGACAAAAUAUUCACAGUGACGGUCGAUAAUGCAGCUUCUAAUGAUGGUGCAAUCAGAUUCUUAAAGAAAAAGUAUAAGGGGGCGAAUGCGAUCCUAGAUUGCAAUUUUAUGCAUUUAAGAUGUUGUGCCCAUAUAAUUAAUUUAGUUGUGAAAGACGGGCUGGAAGAAGAACAUGAUUCGAUUGUGCGAGUUAGAAAAGCUGUAAGAUAUGUUAGGUCGUCUCCAUCUCGUUCUGAGAAAUUUGAGGAAUGUAUUAGAAAGGAAGGCAUAAAAUGUGAUAAAAAUGUGUCUCUUGAUGUCGAGACGAGAUGGAACUCCACGUACUUGAUGUUGGAGGCAGCAGUAAAGUAUGAAAAGGCAUUCAAAAGACUUGAAGAAGAUGACUUAUCUUAUUUUAAUUACUUUCUUAUUGGAGAUGAAGAAGAUGUCACAACAAACACAAGGACCAAAGCUAAGAAGAAGAAGAAGAGAAAAGAAGUAGUUGGAGGACCUCCAUCAGAAAAUGAUUUUGAGAUAGCUCGGAAUUUUCUGAAAUUUUUGAAGCUAUUUUACAGGGUGACAGAGAAAAUUUCAGGGUCCAAGUAUGUUACCUCAAACCUGUUCUUUGAUGAGCUUGUGAAAAUGCAUGUGAAAAUUGGAAAUAUGUGUUUUAGUGAGCAUGCAAGAUAUUUAGAAAUGGCAAAGCGCAUGAAAGCAAAAUACGACAAGUACUGGGAUAAUAUUGACAACAUAAACUUUCUCUUCUAUGUGGCAGUCCUCCUCGAUCCCCGCAGGAAGAUGCAGUACAUUGACUAUUGUUUUUCACAGAUAUAUCCUGAUGAAAAAGAGAAGCAGAUUCUAAUGAAAGAAAAGGUGAAGAGCACCCUGGAUGCAUUUUACAAAGAUUAUGCUAGACUUCAGGAGGGCCAGACAAGUGGUAACACAUCGAAAAAAUAUUCUGUGAUAAAUUCAAAUAUUGCACCCAUGUCCAUUGAUGACGAGGAAGAUGAGGAGGAUGAUGUUGAUUUGAUAGCGAAUUUUCAAAAGCACUUGGAGUCAGAAGAUAGCAUGACUAACAAAUCUGAAGUUGAUAUUUAUAUGUCAGAUGCUAUUGAGAGAAAUUUAGGUGAUGACUUUAAUAUUUUGCAGUGGUGGAAAAUGAGUUCUGUAAAAUUUCCAAUUCUCUCUCAGGUAGCUAAGAAUGUGUUGGGCAUGCCUAUUUCUACAGUGGCUUCAGAGUCUGCAUUUAGCACUGGGGGGAGGGUGAUCGACCCAUUUAGAAGUUCACUCACUCCAAAGACUGAUGAAGCUUUAAUUUGUACACAUGAUUGGAUCAGGUCAAAGAAUUCAAAGCAAAUUGAUCUGGAGACUUCACAACCUUUUGCUCUUGAUGGGAUUAGAAAGCAGCUUGAAGAAAUUGAAAAAGGUAUCUUAAAUUUUUAGUUACUAUUAGUUUUAUAUUAAUUUAUGUUAUAGAAUGAGUCUUUUAAUUAUAUAAAAUAAUGGUUGUUGCAUGCAAUUUCAUUAUAUAAUAUAUUUUUUUCUGAUUUUUAAUUCUUUUUAUAAACAAACACACACGAAUAUCAAAUAUAAAAAUAAAAAUUUACAUUUCACAUUAAUAUAAUUAUUGAUUUAUUGUGCUUAUAAUUUUUUGUUUAAAUUGUAGAUGAGUUGGGAAGGGCACCUAAGUACUUGGAGGAGAGCUUGAUCGAAGAAUAGGAUAAUUGCAGUAGAGCUGAAAUAUUUGUGGUGUUAAUCUGCUGAUUAGAUGUUAUUAUGAAACUUAUUCAAUUACCCAACUUUUUUUAUUUAUGUACUUUUUGAAGACUUUUUAUCUGAAUUUCAUGAUUAGUUUAUUUUGGGUAAUUUAUUGACUUAGCAUCAUCUAAUUUCUUGUCAAAAUAUUUAUUUUUUAGUCUUUAUUAUGUAUUAAAGUUUUUUAUUUUAGAUUAAAGUAUGUAAUAUUUUCUAUAUCCUCAUAUAUGGAAAUAAGAGUGACCGAACAUAGUAUACAUUGUACAUGUACAUGAAACUUUUCUAUUUUGUUUAGAAAUUUAUUAUGGACAAAAGUAACAAAUCAUAGUAGAAAAACCGAAAAAAAAACCGCAACCGACUAAUGGUUAAUCGCAACCGAAUAACCGCUUUAAUUGGUGUGGUUACGGUUAAUGAUGAUUAACCGAACCGAACCGCAUUCAACGGUUUGGUAACGGUUAAUGUUCGGAACCGCACCAAACCGCACCAUGCACACCCCUAAUCAUGAUCUACUCUCAAGAUUCUACGCUUUUCAUUUGUACUUCUACAGAAAAAUUCUGAUAAGAGCCCGUUCCCGUUCCCGUUCCCGGGAGUACAUGCCAAUAUUAGUUUUCCUGUUAAUUUCGGAGUGUGGAGCAUCUGUUACCUGUUACCAGAAUAACUACUGUAAUGCGUUUCUAGCCGUUGAUAACUUGAUAUCGAAGGCCUGUAUGGCUACAAAACCUACAAAUUAACCGAGUUGAUUGACGAAUCGAUGGUGUUCCAACCCACUAUACCGUAAUUAAGCAAUUGUGUAAUUAGCAAUUGAAGAAAAUAGUUAACAGGGCUAAUAUCUAUGUCAUUCAUAUUGGUUGAUUAUGCAAAAUAAGCAAUACGCACUAGUGAGAAACUGAGUUGAGCGGAGAAAAGAAAGUACCUUUAAUUACACGCAACUCCUCUUNUCUGAUUUUUAAUUCUUUUUAUAAACAAACACACACGAAUAUCAAAUAUAAAAAUAAAAAUUUACAUUUCACAUUAAUAUAAUUAUUGAUUUAUUGUGCUUAUAAUUUUUUGUUUAAAUUGUAGAUGAGUUGGGAAGGGCACCUAAGUACUUGGAGGAGAGCUUGAUCGAAGAAUAGGAUAAUUGCAGUAGAGCUGAAAUAUUUGUGGUGUUAAUCUGCUGAUUAGAUGUUAUUAUGAAACUUAUUCAAUUACCCAACUUUUUUUAUUUAUGUACUUUUUGAAGACUUUUUAUCUGAAUUUCAUGAUUAGUUUAUUUUGGGUAAUUUAUUGACUUAGCAUCAUCUAAUUUCUUGUCAAAAUAUUUAUUUUUUAGUCUUUAUUAUGUAUUAAAGUUUUUUAUUUUAGAUUAAAGUAUGUAAUAUUUUCUAUAUCCUCAUAUAUGGAAAUAAGAGUGACCGAACAUAGUAUACAUUGUACAUGUACAUGAAACUUUUCUAUUUUGUUUAGAAAUUCAUUAUGGACAAAAGUAGCAAAUCAUAGUAGAAAAACCGAAAAAAACCGCAACCGACUAAUGGUUAACCGCAACCGAAAAACCGAUUUAAUUGGUGUGGUUACGGUUAAUGAUAAUUAACCGAACCGAACCGCAUUCAACGGUUUGGUAACGGUUAAUGUUCGGAACCGCACCAAACCGCACCAUGCACACCCUAACUANNNNNNNNNNNNNNNNNNNNNNNNNNNNNNNNNNNNNNNNNNNNNNNNNNNNNNNNNNNNNNNNNNNNNNNNNNNNNNNNNNNNNNNNNNNNNNNNNNNNNNNNNNNNNNNNNNNNNNNNNNNNNNNNNNNNNNNNNNNNNNNNNNNNNNNNNNNNNNNNNNNNNNNNNNNNNNNNNNNNNNNNNNNNNNNNNNNNNNNNNNNNNNNNNNNNNNNNNNNNNNNNNNNNNNNNNNNNNNNNNNNNNNNNNNNNNNNNNNNNNNNNNNNNNNNNNNNNNNNNNNNNNNNNNNNNNNNNNNNNNNNNNNNNNNNNNNNNNNNNNNNNNNNNNNNNNNNNNNNNNNNNNNNNNNNNNNNNNNNNNNNNNNNNNNNNNNNNNNNNNNNNNUCUUCCGAUGCCCUCGCCGGAAAACAAGGCUCGAAUUCAACUUAAAUCAGCAGGCAUUCAAGCACGGGUUUCGAGGUGUCUGUGAAUGCCGCUCCGUUCCCUUCAGGCUGCGUUUUAAAGUUUCGGUGGUUUGGGAUUAGGCCCUCCCGAUCCUUUUAUUUUGUAACUUUUUAACGGGUGUUUUUGAAUGUCUAGGCCGAUUAAUUUAUAAAUUUUUUGAUAGAUUUAAUUAAAAUAUUUAUAUUAAUUCAAACUUGUUUCUUGACUAUUUAAAAAAAAACUUAUACACGUUAAAAUGAUGUUAAUUUUAUAUAAACGUAAUUUUUUAUACAAAAUUAUAUAUCAAAUAUAUAUUAUAUAUUUUUAAAAUAAUAAAUAGUAUACUUUUUAUUACAUCUGGUUAGGAAUAUUUCAGAUGAUAUGAGUUUUUCUUGUAUUUUGUUUUGUGGGUACUCUUUUUCCCCCUAAGUUAUUUCCCAUAGGGUUUCCUCUUGCGGGGUUUUAACAAGGUCCAAUUGGUGAGUUUUUUUUUCACACAAUAGAGACCAUACCUUCUAAACGUCCGGAGUAUUUAUUUACUCUUGGAUUAGAUAGUAUACUUUUGUGGAUGAAAGAAAUUCUAUUCCAUCGGACAUUGUAUUUUCGAUCUUUGGUAUCAAUGAAAAUCUAUUUUUCUUUAAAAGAAAAAGAAAAAAAGAAAAAAGUCUUUUAUUAUGUCAGCUCGUGGGUUUACCCAAGGCGCACCCGAAAAGGUAACGAUUGCGGGUUCCUACGUUAAAAAAAAAUUCAAAAAAAAUGUGUGAUUAGUGAUUAAUGAGUCUAGUUAAUGCGAAUUGAGAUCUCAAACUCAUACUUAUUUUCUUAAAAAAAAAAAAUUUACCAUUUUGGAAAGGUGUCGUAGUUAUUUAUGUGUUCCGUGUUUUAUAUUUUCUUAAUUUAAAUUUGUUUUUAAGAAUAGUUUUUAAAUUUUCAGGACUUGCCAAGUUAAAAUUUUCGGGCGUAAAUUUUUAUUUAUUUUUUUUGAGUUAUAAAUUUUAGCAUAAAUAAUGCUCACUUUUUAUGAGAAAUUUGAGUACUGUAUUUAUAUAUUACUUAUAACAUAUGUAUGGUUUGAGAGAUUUAGCAAGACCUUAGUCAAAACGAGGUGAAUAUUGUGUAGACAUCUCCUAUUUGGUGUAAAUAAAUAGUAUAGCGUGUAGUUGGAGUUAUUGGACACGUAUAAUCAUGACUAUUAUUUGUAUGUUUUAGUCAUUUUGAUAAUAUUUCUUUUGUGUUAUGAAAACUCUUCUAAUUAAAUUGUAUACGCGUGUCGUCAGAGUUAUGAGAGUUAUUGGUUUAUUUUUUUAAAGUAAAUGUGAUUAUUGUGUAUAAGUGUUAAGAAUAUUUUAAACAGUGUGAUUGUUUUAGCUGAGAAUGCAUUUGUUAUGUUUCUUUGAUAUUUAUCAUGCUUAUUUAUUUAGAUAUUCAGUUUUAUUCAACUUAUGUAUUAUUUACAUUCAUAUGGACAUUUCGUUAAACGACAAUUCAUUUUUAUUUAUUUUUCAUCGGACAUAUUAAAUGGAUUGUUUUGUGAAAGAACGUGAGUUUCAAAAUGUGCGUAUUCAAUUGUAGUUUUCACUCAAAUAUUAAAAAUUGUUACAUUUGAGCAUGUAUUUAGAUUGAAAUUUAUAUAGAUGGAUGAGUUCAAAUUAUCUUUUUUUUAAGGGAGUUCAAAUUAUUUUAAACUACUAUUUAAACCAAGAAGAUUAAUAUAAUCAAUAUUCGGCAAAGGGAGAUGAUACAAACGAAUAACGGUCUAAUGGGGAAAAAAUUUCAAUUUCAAACAAAGAAAAAGAAUUUCAAUUUCAUAACGUAAAAAAAACCGAGGCCUAUGUAAAACACACUUAAAAUCAAUAAUAAAAUUGAAAGGGAGCGCUCACGAGCAAAACCCUAAAACCUCUAUCCAAGCCCUCAAUUACAAAUACCCCAUCCCCAUUUCUCUGCGACUACCCAAAUCAAUUGCAACCCUUUUUCGCAGAUUCAAUUUGGGUCUGGCCCAUUAAAUCGUAUGUUUCUCUGUCUCAGUCUCCAUCUCCACUUUCUUGUUUUUUAAUACACACAAACCCAUGUAUGUAUAAUUAUCAAUGUCAUCCUCUAGACUUGCAGAUUAGCUAAUUCAACAGUUCUUGUUUUGUAUAUAUGUGUUUAUGUUAAGUGUAUAUGAAUGCAAUUUAUUAUCUUUGCACGAAAGAUCUGAAUCUAGAAUUUUCUUGGUUUUUGGGGGUAUUUUUGUUUGUUUGUUAUGAUUAUUUAUGGUAGUCGAAGUAAUGUUGGUUAUUGGUUUAAGCUUUGAUUUAAUUUUUAGGGUUUGUGUGUUUGCAGGUUGAGGAGGUUUUUGUGCUAAUUUGAGUUGAAUAACGAUGAGUAGCCGAUUCUCUCGCACGAUUUAUGUUGGAAAUCUUCCUUUGGACAUAAGGGAGUCUGAAGUUGAGGACCUGUUUUACAAGGUUUGUUUUCGGUGGUUCUGAGAUGGGUUGUGUUUGCAUUUUGUAAGAUGUAUUGUCUUAUGAUGUGUAAUUGUAGUCUUUGUUGCUAAAUUUGAGGUGGUAGACACGAAAUGCUUAAGUUAUACUGUAUGUUUAUCUGAAAUUGUAGUCUUUGUUGCUAAACUUGAUGUGGUAAGCAUCAAUUUAAUUUAAGUGAUUACUACAUAGAAUGCCCAUUCUUAUAAUUUUUUUUUUGCUAGUUAUUUAGAGGUUCUAAGAAGCCAAGACUUCUCGUAACAUUUAGUUUUUGGUGAAACAUGUCAGUCUUGUGAUAUUCGUAUAAUCAUUAUCAUCGCAUUCAGUGGUUUGCUACAGUUACAUGCUGAGUUAAUCAUUAUCUCUCCUCAUGCAGUAUGGCCGUAUAUUGGAUAUUGAACUGAAGAUUCCAUCUCGUCCUCCUUGUUUUUGUUUUGUGGAGGUACCUAAAUAUAAUAUACAACUUAUUAUCUCAAUGUGCGGUUAAUAUAUUCUUUUAGAAAAUCUAUUUAUUUUCUGUACUUCUAUAUACUAAACUUUGUAGUUUGAGGAUCCCCGGGAUGCUGAAGAUGCAAUUAGGGGUCGAGAUGGCUACAACUUUGACGGUUGUAGAUUGAGGGUACAUUACGUAGCUCUGUUAACUACCUUCCGUAUUAGGGCACUGUGAUAAAUAGUUAUAUAACACUCAAAACCAAUGGUGCAGGUUGAACUUGCACAUGGUGGUAGAGGGUCAGUUUCUGGUGAUCGCCGUGGUGGUUAUGGUGGUGGUGGUGGUAGUUUUGGGGGUGGAAGGGGUCGCCCUGCCAUUUCACGCUACUCUGAGUUCCGAGGUAGGAAUAUUAUUGUAAUAUUGUCUAUGGAUAACUUAACGCUGUCUAGCUCGUUUGUUUAUAUAUUUCCAAGGCCAAAAUGUUUCAGUUGGCAUCCUUACUUUUUAGAAUGUGUAGAUAAUUUAACACGUGUGCUUAUAUGUGCCACAGUUAUUGUUCGUGGACUACCAACUUCGGCUUCAUGGCAAGAUUUGAAGGUAAGAAGUUAAUAAGAUAAGUUACUUGAGUUGAUGCUAGAAUCCCCCUAGUAGAUAUUGUUAAUCAAAUUUUAAAUUAUUUUCAGGAUCACAUGAGGAAAGCUGGUGAUGUGUCCUUCGCUGAAAUUUCUCGUGACAGAGAGGGUAUUCAUUGUUUAAAUAAAAUGUACUUUUAUUUGGGUGGUCAAAUUCUAUCUUUCUCGUUAGUUUCCUGGAUUAUUGAUAUUUUCAAUAUCGAGGACAGUGAUUACUAGGUGUAAGAUAGCAGAUAUUAGUAGAUCGUAUUGACAUUUGGCGCCGCAUGAGCCUUGUGUUCACUUGACAUCAAUUUUAUAUUUUCUAGUCAUCCUUACCAUGAAUAUAUUUUUGGGAAUUCUGAAGCAGGUGAUUAGAGGAAUUAAGCCAAGCACAUGCUGAUUAGUAUUCUGUUGUUCUGGGUAGAGCUUUAUGGAUCUGAUGUCCAGAUCUUUGUUUCGAUCUUAGUUUUCGUCAUAGGAAACUAUGGGUUUUCAUUUUAGAUGACCAUAUUUGUAAUAUGUUUGCCCUUGCUGACUGACUAUGUAUGAGUUGUAUUCUAAAGAUAGGAGGUUAGGGUUGAAUAUGUUAAAUUUUGUGUUGAUUACAAAAGAAACUAAUCCCUUUUGCUUGAUUAAAUAGUGCAAGUUUUCUUAGAGUGGCGUGAAGGUUAAAUGGGGGUCAUAUUGAGCAUGUUUUAGAGUGAAAACAAGUCAUAUUGUAUGUUUUGUAAUCUUGUUAAAACAGCUCUUUCUAUGGGAAAUAUGCUCUGUCUGCUACAUGGCGCGUCUCUUGGACUGCUAAAAAUGUAAAAGAAGGGUCAUUUUGGAACUUUAGUACCAAGAAACUGGAACUAUGCUUGUUUAUAUAGCAUGGAGGGAACUAAGGAUUACAAUAUUUAUCCUUGUAUAUGUUUUACAUAAGCUUAAUCGAGUGUUAUAAUUGUUUUGGUUAUGCUCUUGGUUAAAUAUUGCACUUUCGCCUGUUAAGCAAUUUAGAAGCAGUAUACUUGUGCAUUUUGUUUGGCAUUCUUGUGCUGGUGGUUUUUGUUUCUAUAGUUCUAUCUUUAUCAUAGAUUGGAUUAUUUUAUUAUGUAAUACAAAAUCUUACUCAUGAGUUGUGAGAUAUAAUUUUUCUAAACGGGCACUUCCCACUUCCCAGUAGUUCAGGGAUUAAGAUACAACAAUUAACACACGUAUGCAGAGCUAUAUUCAGAUUUCCAAAUAUACUAGUUUGACUUUCGCAUUGUUGCUUUUCAGUCUUUUCAUGAUCAUUGUAUUGUUGUAUACAGGCACCUUUGGUCUGGUUGAUUUCACAAAUUAUGAAGACAUGAAAUAUGCUGUAAGUUGCUGAUCUUUUUAAUAUUUAAGCAUAGUUUAUUUCCAUGAACAUGGCCAGCCCCAGCUAUAAUGAUUUUCAUUUAUGAAUUCAGAUUAAGAAACUUGAUGACACCGAGUUUAAAAAUCCGUGGACAAAAACCUAUAUCCGGGUAAUACUCAUUCCGGUAUUUGUAUCUAGUGUGAUUUCAUACUUUCCUAAUAUAUUAAUAGAUUUUUGAAUAGUGCCUCAUACUCAUUGCAGAUUUCUGUAGUUCAUGAAAAAAGUGUAUAGCAUCUACACAUGUACUUUUGUGUUGGUUUAAUCCUCUGAUCGUUGCUUGUUAAAUAUGACAAACAAAUUUCUAAAUUUACAGGAUGGUGCUCAGCUAAUGGGCCAAAUCAAAGUCAGCACCCUAAAAGGAUAGGAUCUAUUAGGAUGUUUCUACAUCCAAGCUUUCUUGCUUUGGCCUCGUGGAUACUGGGGGACACACCUACGGAAAAUAUACAUAGGAUAGUGCAUAUGUAAUGCAUGCCUAGUCGAAUAUCUUAAUUUAUGUAGCUAUCUAUAUAUUAAUUUAAAAAACCUCAAAAUAAACUAAUAUAUAGAUAAAAGAUAAGUACAUAAACUAAGAUAUUUGAAUAGGCAUGUGUAGUCGAUGCCUCUAACCUCUCAUUGCCAAGGAAACAGAAGUAGAGAAGUAUAUAAUAGAAUAUAAAUCGAGAUUUAAUAUUUUGGUUUUCAGCUCUUCAAUUAGACCAUUGAAUUCCUGCAGACACAACAGCAGUUUGGCUGAUACUUAAUAUUUUCAUACAUUAGAAGGGCAAUUUUCACUCGCUUAACAACUUAUGUGGGUCUGCUACUGAUUCUUGCAAUUACAGGCCCCAACUUAAUUUCAUGUUACUCCAAAGUAGAAGCCUGGAACAUUUAAUUAUAACAUCAGAAAGAUAACUAAAUUUUUGAUAGUUAAAUGAAAUCCACUGAAUGACGUGAAAAGUAAAUUAUUUCUAACAUAUUACAUUUUUUUGGACACUUCCGUUUAAAGCUGAUACCUUGGCUCAUAACAAGAAUGUGUGAAUUGUUUCUGAUCUAAAAGCCUUUGAUUUGAUUGUAUUCCGAGUUCAGGUUAGCAAGUUUGACCGCAGUCCAUCAAGAUCAAGAAGCCGAAGUAGGAGCCGGAGUAGGAGUAGAAGCUUAAGAAGGGAUAGGAGGUAAGCCUCUGUCAAUACUUUGUAUACGUCCUGCAGAAUACUUGUUCAACUAAAAUUAAACUGUUUAAUUCUGCAGCAAAUCUGUGGACCGGUCUGUCUCGAGGUCACCUUCUAAGUCUAGAUCUGCAUCUCCUGUGAAAUCGACCAGGGCAGCAUCUCCUGUAAAAUCUACCAGGGCAGCAUCUCCUGUCAAAUCAUCCAGGUCAUAAUCUCUUAUAUGAUUAAGUUUUUGCUCCUUCCCCAUUAUCUUAAUUUUUUAAGUUUUAUGUUUCUAAUUAUGAUAUAUGCAGGCCUAGGUCAAGAUCCUUAUCCGCUUCCCCAAAACAGGUGAACCUUUUGUUAAGUGGUUGACAUACAUGUGUUCAGUCUAGUCACUCUAGUCGAUCAGAAAUAAUGAGUUCUAAUUGAGGUUGAAUGUUGUAGUGCAAGCAUUAGGAGUUCUUGUAAAGAUCCCUUUCUGCAUAUCAUUCUCAUCUUGUUUUACUUCGUCUCCUUAAAUGUUAUUGUAACCUAAUAGUACUUCACUACACACUUCUGUCCUGCUCUAAAGUUUCUGCUGAAGUGAGAGAUCUAAAAAUUUGGAUAUCUUAGAGGAGAAAAAUAAUGGAUGGAUGAAUCCAGAUGUUCUAGUCUUUAAUUUGUAAUUUAAUACAUAAAGAACUUUUGGUGUGUUGGUGCUUUUUCCUGGUGUGUCGAUAUAGGGUGCUGGCCUAUAUGAAAUUCCUUUCCUGCUAGGUAAUCGUACGUUUUACAGUAAUGAAUUUAGGCUAUCUGAAAGUAUUGAUUAGCAUCAAAUAUGAAUUACUAUUGCACUAAUAAACAAUGAAUUUGUAUAUUUUUAUAUUAAAAUUAUGUGUUCUCAUUGGAGAUAUGGGUCCAUUUCAGGUGCGAUCAGGAAGUGCUUGAUACUCUUGCCAGAUAAUCGAAUGUCCAGUGAUGCUUGAAAGGGAGUGUUUGAUAGGAUUCUUAUUGGAAGGAACCCUUGUGUUUAGAGUUUUAUAUUUCUUGAUGAGAAUUAUGAAUUUUAGAAAGCUAAACCUUUUUAUCAUUAAUGUGUUGUAAACUAUUUACGUUAGUAUGGAUUCCAACUUUGAGUCUAGAGGUCAUCUCUGCAUUGCUUCAUUAUUCGAACUUUUUCGAUCAGGGUGUAACCUGGGAGUAAAAUUCUAGUUUUUAAGGCUGAAGACCUGACCAAGGGUAUAUACCUUGUAUGUGUAACCCUUUAUUUUAUGUAGACUAAGAUGGAUGACCCUACUUCCUAAAGUAUGUUUGGAAUGUGUCACCUGAGGCAGAGGCUUGUUGUGUAAAAAAAUUUAAGGAACCUUUGAAGAUGCUGAUUGUCUGAUUAUAAGUUUUGUUUCUGCUUUAGCUUCUAAAACGUGUUUUUGUUCCAAAAAGUGCGUUUAUUAUUCUUGUAAAGGCCUGGGAGUGCUUUUGUUUUUUCGGAUGAAUACCGGUUCGGGCCAAAAUCUCGGAUUUCUCUCCACGGAUUGUUUGAGACUGGGUUGAAUCAUUUGUCAUGAGGCUUGAUUUGUAAUGAAUAGGGUUUGGGCCAAAAACUUCCUAAGUAUGUGAAUGUUAACCAAACAAUCACCUAGAAUGUUCUCGGAAUUAGGAGAGUAUAAUGGGGCUCACUAGGUUGAUAUGACAAGCAGGUUUCAAUGAUCAAGUAUCUAACUGAACACCAACUUUGUGUAAAGUGGCCUGGCUGCAUAACGAGAUUCAGUUUGGAAAUUGCCUCACUUGUAGUGUGUGAUUGUGUGCUAAGUGCCAACUCUGAUUUGCUAUUUGAAGAUGCACAAAAGUCAUGAGAAUGAGCUAUAUAUCAUCUUUAUUCUGUAACUAUUUAUAGAAUAAUAUAACUGACAAUCAACAAACUACUGAAGCAGCAAUAAAUAUAUAUGAUAACGGUUUUUCUAGUGUGUGUCCAUGGGCACAUGCGAAGCGCGGAAUUUGAUAAGUUUGAGAGAUUUUGAUUGGCUCUCAUAACUUAAUAACGGUGGAUCCCCUGCAAAUAUAUCAACCACACCAAUCAAAAUCUCCAAAACAUAUCAAAUUCCGCGCUUAGCAUGUGCCUAUGGGCACACACUAGAAAAACCCUUGUAAUUAUAUACCUCUUUAUAAGCGGAACUUGAAAAACAAGGAAAAAAAGCUACUACAUCCAUGUUUAUAUGUUUUUCUCUAGGAAAUUUUUAUAUCCGAGUACAAUCACUUAAAAAAAUGGGUACGGGUCUCCGACAUACGUGUGUUGGUAGGAGAAAAAAAAAAGCUCAACGGCUUAACGCAAAAUUUUUUAUGAAUAUAACAAGUUCUUUGUAGACCACAAAAAAACUGGAGUAUCGGAGACCACAUCUCAGCCAUCAAUUUAUUAUAAUCCAACGGUUAUCAUAUUUCUGUUUAUUUUUAAAAAAAUAUUUAUUUAUUAACAAUACACACAAAAAUACGUUUGAUGUAUACGGUACUAACGGCUUGUUAGGGACGGUUACUCGUAUGCUGAACGUACGCUCUGCAGUUAUGGCAGUUUGUUUUGCGUAUCACCGUGCAAUACCUCUCUGUUCUCUAAUUACGGACCUCAUAAUUCUCAGCCAUAACAGAAUUGUUCCUCUGGUCAAUUCAUUGUGCGUGUGUAGUUGUCAUGGUUAGUGUUCGAGAGGCAGGUAUGUAGUGUCCAUUAGAGUUUAAGUCCAUUUACUUGUUACUCUACUUUUGAUUUUUUAUCAAACUGAUUUUCAAUCCCUUUGUUCCGUUAAAGUAUUAAUGUUGUUUCUUUAGCUUAUUUAUGUUGCUCUUCUCAUGUUCGAUGAUAUGUCUCAACAAGUUCUGCAUUUGUCCUUCUAAACAUUAUGCGGGAUGCUUUUGCUUGUGCGUUGUGCUGCUGAUAUCGACGCGGUUUAUAAGAUGUUAUCUCCGAGAAUCGUUCUGCAAAAAUCGUGCUGCAAUGAUCUUCGGAUUCAUGGAUAGUUAUUGUUUUGUAACUGCGGUAUUUUCGUGAGUGGGUUGCGGGAUGCUAAUCCCGUAUUAUACGUCUAUGUCUACAAAACAUACGGUACUUUUAGAGCGUACAAGUGCUGUUAUUUAAAUUUUAAAAACUGCUUAGACAAUCUCAGCCGUGCAACAAAUUUGUAAUCCAAUGGUGGAUUAGAUGGUCUUAGAAGUCUAAGGAAAUAAUAGUCCCCCACUGAACCCAACUCAUGUUAAAUAUCAUUUAGCAUAUCGUUCUUUUUCGCCGGUAAUAUUAUUCAAAUGCUUUUAUCGGUUGCCAAAAAAUGAUUAUGGGUCCAGUUGAAAACAUUUCUAGCCGAUCAAAACCAUCUCAAAAACGUGUCUCUAACUGUCUACACACCGGACUGCCCCCACACGCCUUAACAGCCUAACUCCAACUUUGAACUAAAGAAAAUGAAAUCUCAACUCCCCGAAAUUUCCUCUGCUUUCUACUCUGUAUAUAAUAUAUAUACAAGUCCCAGCUCCCAACUUUUAAAAUCAUUUCUCAUAUUUUCAUUCAAAUCUUUAAUAUUCUCCAGAAAUUCAUCAGGUACAAGCUAGCACGAUGCUCAUGUCGAUGUUGAGUUCAUUUGAUGCUCUGUUUGCCGAGUCGUUUGGCCACAAAGUUGGCUUUUCAUGGCCACUUUUAUCAGCUAAAGAUGUCCAGCCUUCGGAAAAUAAAAUGCAAUCGUCUAGUGGUAAUUUUGCGGAUAAAUUUAUCGCUAAGAAGUUGCCGGAAAAUCAAGAAGUGCAGCAGAAGACGAGGAAGAUAGCAAGUACUAGGUUUGCUCCGGAGCUGGACGGAGUGCAUUUUUUUGAAACUAUUAUUCCUUAUUGACUUGUCAGCCGGAACUCAAAAUGUAAACAAUAUUUUAUUUUAUAUUUGGAGAUCGGAUUGGAAAAUAUAUGUUCUCUGUAGCGUUACGUUGUAGUGUAUACGAGAUUCGUAUUUUCUUAAUAUAAUUACUUUGAAAUUAUUAGAAUGUAUUGAAUGAUCUUCCCAAAAUCGAUAGAUUGAAAUGAUAUUAAAUAUUUCUGUAAUAUAAAAUUUGUUAAACCUUGCUUAUGAUAGUCGGCUAUAUUAAAAAAUAAUAUAGUAGUAUUUUAAUAUGAUAACAAAUAGGGUUUAAAUCUUUCUCUAGUAGAGAUAUUUGACUGAACGAAUUAUUGUAUUUAAUUAUAUUUUGUAAAAGUAUCGUGUAAGGAUCCUUAGUAAUUAUUAAGUUCGAUUGUUAAAAGUCACUCCUUUCUUCCAAAAAAACCCUAAUUCUCUCUAGCCUUUCUAUUGUCGUAGCCGCCUGGGGCUUCCAUCGGUUUUCACCGGUGGAAAGCCCCGAAUCAGUUAACUACUUUAUUUUAUUCUUAGUUUUUGAAUAAUACUUCUUCUCGAGAAAUUUAGAUCCAGAGCCAUCGGAGAUUUCGUUAUCUCUCUUCCAAGCGGGUGAGUUGCAGUCCGAUUUUUCUUGUUUUUGUGGUUCUGCUCCAGAUCUAUUCUCAGGGGAUUCUUAGAUCUAAAACCAUCGGAGAUUUCGCUGGAUUUCUCCUCUAUUUCAAGUGGGUGGAUUUUCAGUCGGAUUCCUCUUGUUUCUGUGGUUUCAUCUAAGGUUGUUUUCACUCCCUGGUGAGAGCUUUGUUUUUCGCUUCUUAAUUGUAAGCGGGGUUUGAUUUGGUGAUGAAAGUUUGUAUGGAAUCGCAGUUCUGGUCGAUAGCUCAAACGAUAGCUCUAUCGGGGCAUGAUGAAGAGGGUACCAGUAAUUCAACGAGAAUGCAUGAAGCGGGUACUUGUAUUUGUACAUACAUUUUCUUCAAAAUAUCGUUUAACUGUCUCUUUGUGAGAACAGGCGAUUGCAAUUUACUGUUUGUUCGACUCGAUCAUUGGUGUAGAUGCCGUAUGACCUUUUAUUAUUAGAUUAACACCUUUGUUUCAAAAAAAAAAAAAAAUGUAAGGAUCCUUAGUACGUGUCUAGAGAAAUAAUGAUAUCCAACUAUAUAUUUUUAAGUGUCAUAUAAGGUUGAUACUCGUUAAGGUUUACAUCAGCGAAGCUCUAUUAAUAUACAGACGAUCUGAUGCGCGACCUUAGAAUCCGCAACUGAUUUCUUACUUUGUAUCAAGUGGCCUGACUAUAAACUCAGUUCGAAAGUGAGCUUCACAUGUAUUUUUCUCUUGGUUGUUUCUCAUGAAUUUGUUCAAAAGUCAUCAGCGGUUGGUCACUUCCAGUUCUUCACACUCGAUUCUCGUUUGGUUACCGGAAGAUGUGUACGCCCUCCGUAUCAUUUAUUUAUAUAUAUUUUUUUCACUAAAUCAGUCCUGGUGGAAACGGAGCGAUCCAAAGGGUCACGGGUUCGAACCUCAUCAGCUCCCGGGCGUUAGUCCGAUUUACCUACCUGUGUUGGCUAUGGAGCUAGUCGGCAGAUUCUUAGGAAAAAAAUCUAUAUAUUUUUUUCACUAAAUCGCGGUUCGACACAUAUUUUAAUAUUUCUAUAAAAUGUAGUUCUAAUACUUAUUUUAAUUUUUUUUCUUUAAACAAAAUUUAAUAAUAUUAUAAUAUUUUCAUUAAAAUAUAUAUAAUUGAAGGGUACGGUUGAACUACUGCAAGUAUAUAAGCCUAAGCCUGCUCAAAGGAAUUAUUUUUUAGAAAAAAAACUUCGGUGCAGACGGUCUACGCGGAUUGGACCGGCAGUCUUUGAUGAUUCAAGUGCCAAACCCCACACGCCUAAGUCCAACUUUGAACUACAUAUGUCAACUCCUAGAAAUUUCCUUUCCUCGUGUAUAUAAAAAAGUCCCAAGGCCCUUACUCUCAAAUCAUUACACAACACAAUCUACUAUCUCAUUCAAAUCUUCAAAAUCCGAAGGAAAAAUAACAUAGUUUUACAAAGGCAGCAGGAUGGUAAUGUCAAUGUUCAGUUCAUUUGAUGCUCUCUUUGCAGAAUCAUUUGCCCAGAAAGUUGGGUUUUCUUGGCCUGUUGUGUCGACUAAAGAAAGCCAGACUUCUUCGUCGUUUCUAGAUAAUUCUGCAGAUAAAUUUAUCGGUAAAAAGAUGUCGGAAAAUCAACAAGUGCAGCAGAAAAGGAGCAAGACAACAAGUACUAGAUUUGCGCCAGAGUUGGAUGGAGUUCAUUGUUUCGAGACCAUUAUUCGAUAUUGAUAUGUCAAGCUCUAUGUAAUUUUGUGUAUGCUUGUACACCAUCUGUCUGUAUUAAUAUUCAUUCUUUUCUCUCAAUUUAGAUCCGCUCUUGUUGAUUUUUUACUGACUUUUAAUUAUAUAAGCGGCUAUGAUCUUCGCUUUUAAGCUUGAAUAUGAUUACAAAUUCAGAAUUUCUUUUCUUUCUUUCUUUUUAAAUCUGGCUUGCUCUGUCUUCAAGUGAUCAGAUCGUAUACGUGUUCAGAUAAAUUAAAUGUACCAAUACUUUUGAAGUUUUUGAAAGUUAAUUUCUAAUGCAA